CCCAGACUCCUACGGGAGGCAGCAGUGGGGGAUAUCGCACAAUGGGGGGAACCCUGAUGCAGCGACGCCGCGUGGGUGAAGGAGCGUUUCGGCGCGUAAAGCCCUAUCGGCAGGGAAGAAGGAGGACGGUACCUGACUAAGAAGCCCCGGCUAACUACGUGCCAGCAGCCGCGGUAAUACGUAGGGGGCAAGCGUUAUCCGGAUUUACUGGGUGUAAAGGGGGCGCAGACGGCAGCGCAAGCCAGGAGUGAAAGCCCGGGGCCCAACCCCGGGACUGCUCUUGGAACUGCGCGGCUGGAGUGCAGGAGGGGCAGGCGGAAUUCCUGGUGUAGCGGUGAAAUGCGUAGAUAUCAGGAGGAACACCGGUGGCGAAGGCGGCCUGCUGGACUGCGACUGACGUUGAGGCCCGAAAGCGUGGGGAGCAAACAGGAUUAGAUACCCCUGUA
This 446-nucleotide ribosomal RNA is filed under the name uncultured bacterium. RNAcentral describes it as "partial 16S ribosomal RNA". It matches the Rfam family "Bacterial small subunit ribosomal RNA", at positions 330 to 792 of the family's 1533-position model. The record is from RNAcentral.